CAUUUUGCAUAGUCUGUGAUGUGUCGGCUUGAGCGCAAUUAAGUUCAGCUCCAUCUUCCAAGGUAAAAGUCUCUGGCAAUACUUUGAACUCCAAAGCAGGACCCUCAUCCAAUGGCAUCAGUGCAGGGUUCCCCAACUCAUAUUUACUUUUCUUUACAUUAACGGGUGAAUGCAAUAAUUUGGAUGGCACGGUCUUCCCUCUAGUGAUAUAUUUAUUCAUUGACAUUUGUUGCGUUGUAUGCUUGUGCCGUCUCUUCCGCUUAUUUCCUUCAACCAAAUAGCUGAAGGAUUUACGCUGAACCCGACUUUGCAAGGAUGCUCUUCGUAUCCGCUUUCUCCUGUCAGUAGCAUCUUCAUCUUCUGAUUCCAUACAUAUGCGCUUCUUUGACUCGCUGUUGUUUUUAACCUUCUGGUGAGAGCUUAUAAUUAUUUGAAGAGUUUUUGGGGGUUCUUCACGACUUGAUUUCUCUUUGCAUCUUUUAGUUAGCUUUAGUUGGUUUCCUUUUUCAGAAGACGACCCAUACAGUGCAAGACAUACCGUUUUAGUCUCCUUCAAAUCAGGAGCUGGGGUGUCUUGCUCAAUCACAUUCAUAAGAGUCAUGUUUGUUGCACAUUUUGUGGGCGAUUCACUUCUUUUCUGCUCUGAAGUUUCAGUCUCUGCCUUGGAGACCUCUUCGGAAGUUGAUAUGUCUUUCGCAAUCUUUGUCUUCACCGUAGUAGGAUCAUGCAGCAAUGGGUUUUCGUCCUCAGAAUCAUCUGUGGCUUCAGAAUCAUCUGUUCUUUCCAGAGCAGCAGCAGCAUCCAUUUCCACACGUUCGCAAUCACCAGGACUGUCUUUUUCAGCCUGCACCUCUAAACUUGUUCUGUGGGCCUCCAUUUGAAUCUCCUUCUCCCUCGACUCUGAUUUUAUCUGGCACAUGCACAACGAGCCAUUUCCAUGUUCUAAAGUUUGAAACCAUUUAGCAAGACAACAGUAAGACUCCAACUGUUCACCACCAGAACUUGGAUAUUUUCUCUCUUUUGGCUUCAUAUCUUCUAGGAGCACUUUUUCAGAAUCGAGUUCCAGGACUUGAACCUUCACCUGGUCCUCAGUGGAAUUAUGAACUGUAGUAUCUUUCUGCAAGUCCUUAUCUUCCGUCUCGCCAGCAAACCAAAGCUUGGCCACUUCAUGAGGGAAAACAUCAAUCUUAAUAGAGUCUAAACUGUCAAUCUUCUCAGUCUCCUCUUCAUUCAUGUUAACAGGAAGUUCUUGACUAGGUUUUGGAUCAGUCUUGCAUCUCAAGCUCUCAUCUGUGAGCAUACAGUCAAUUUCAGGCAUUUCUUCAUCAGAUUCAUUUCGCAUUUGAGAUGGUCCCGUGAGCACUGGAUAAAGUUUUGGCGGACGUGCAUAGUCAAUUCGCCUGGUUGAUCCAUGAGCCAACACUGGACUUUUGGCUCGAUUACAAAGAGGGUCAUCCAGCCUUAAUAUUGCAUUCUUUGGUGUUGGAGCAAUGUCUUUAUUUUCAGCAAAGCAUCGUUUAGCCAUUUCCUGAGUAAGAACAUCAAGCUUAAAAUAAGAUGAAGCAUCCAUCUCAACAAUCUUCUCAUCAUUGAUUUGUACGUAAAAAUCUUGACAAGGUUUUGGAUCAGUCUCACAUCUUAGGGUUUUAUCAAUUUUACUGUUAAGCAUCAUUUCACUGGAUUCAUUUUGCACUUGGGUUAAUGGAACAAACUGCCGUUUUUCAACCACAGGACUAAGCGUCGAUGCUUCGAUUGUGCAGUCACUUUCGCUGGAUGUUUCAUCAAUCAAAAUGGGACUUUGGGCUCCAACACUAUUACCAAAACUGGUGUCCAGUUUUGAUGUUCUAGAUGACUUUUUAUGCUUUUUCAAACCACCAUGUUUUUCAAUUAAUUUUUUAUACUUUAUUAAUGAAACAUUUCGUUUUUCCAGUGUCCUCACCAGGUUUCUCAUGCUGUUCAGUGGAUUAACAGUAUUUGGUUGUUCAUUAAUCUUCGGAGAGACGUUAUCAAUCACUGAUGGAGACUGAGCGUUCGAGGGAACAGGAGAUUCUUCACGAAUCUCAUCGUACAUAUUUUUCUUGGAGGAGAUUUGUUCUUGUUGUACUUUGUCUGUAAAUGGAAUAUGUUCAGCUAAAGAUGACUUGUACUGUUCUGAUAGCAAUGCUAGAACUCUGGAUGCUGAAUAUUUGGCCUUCUCCUCUAGCUUCUGCCUGCUUAUUGGUUCUUCUGUUGAUUUUGUGUCAAGUACUUGGGUUGUGUUCAACAAAGGCGCCUUGUGCUUGUCUGGAAAUGCAGCAAUGAUUUGAUGUCCUUUCAUCUCAUUAGCAAAGCACUGCCUAGCCAUUUCAUGAGGGAGAACGUUCAUCUUAGUGGCUGAAGAAUCCAUCUUGUCAGUCUCCAAUUCAUUCACUUGCACAGGAGUUUCUUGACUAGGUUUUGGCGUGGUCUCAUAUCUCACGUUCUUAUCAAGAACGGCACAUUCAUUAAGCAUUUUUUGACUGGAUCUAACUUGCAUUUCAGAAGAUAACGCAAUCUCCUGUUGUUUUGCAACCACAUGAAUGGGCUUUGGGGAGUUUGUAUAGUCAUUUUGGCCAAUUGAUUUGGGCGACAAAACACUCUUGGUUCCAAAUUGGUUAUCCAAACUUGACUUUCCAGUAGGGACACCUUGUUCACCCAAAUCCACCAUGGCCUCCAGAGAUUUUGCAAUAAUUGGUUGACUGUUGGUUAGUUCUGUAACCUGACAAUUAUGCUUCGGUGAGCAGUUGAUGUUAGCCACAGGUGAUGAUUGUCCAUUAAAUGAAACGGGCACGGUUUCAUGUAGACUCUCCUUGUUUGAUGCUGGUUCAUCUGCUGGUACUUUGUUCUCCACCGCUGAUGGUAAUUGUUUAGUCCCAAUCAAUGAUGGCUUUUCAGUGGCUUCUUGCAAUUUGCUUGGUGCUUCACAUGCCGAGUUUUGUGCUUCGUGUUCGGGGACAUUUUGAAAAGACUUAUAGAACCAAGAAUAACCACAUUCCUUGUCGAUGUCAUCAACGUUUUCAUUAAGAUUCAACCAGGACGACGUGUACGUCAUCUUCGGUGGCACUUCGUUGUGUUUUAAAACGUGAAAAUUCUCAAUGACUUUGCUACGUGCAUCAUUUACAAUUUGCCUCAGUAUCACAGGCUCGUUCAUCGGAGAGUAAAUAUAAACUUCUUCCAUUAUGCUUUGAUAUAUGCCACUUUCUACAACUUCAGAAAACUUGCGAGUAUCCCCAUUCCAGUAAAGUUUUAAGAUGUCCUUCCCAGGAUCAGUUAUGUGGAUGUUCUUCUGAUCCCCAUUUUCUAUUUGCUGAAUCACGGCCAUUAAGGUCUGCAAUCGAUCUAAUGGCCAUUCAAUAAAAGGAACAGUGUCCGGGUCAAUUGUUUUUUUGUCCAUCACUGUACAGUUUUUAUUCAUCUUUUCAGCUGAUUCAUUUUGCAUUUGAGCUGGAACAGACUCGUUUUGUUCUGCAACCACACAUUUCAGGUUCGGACUUUGGUCAGUUGAUUCAUUAGCCAAAACCGGACUCUUGGCUCCAACUACGUUGCAAAGGCCAUCAUUCAGCCUUGGUUCUGCUGACUUUGGUCGUUGAUGCUUGCUUGUUGGGUCAUUUGGUUCUCCCGUUUGGUUCAUCAGAUUAGCGUUGGACACCAGAGGAUGUGGAAUAUUUGGUUGAAGGUGUACAGUCUCUUGCACAGGGUUUACAUUCAUUUUCACAUUAGCAGAUUUGUCUAAUACAUUAACAGGGGCUGUUCCUAUUGGAGACAAUGGUGGGACAACGGCAACAGCUCUCUGAGCAGCAUUAUUCGAUUGCAGGUUCUGUGCACAGGUAGAAAGCAUUUGCACGUUAGCAUUAUUUGUAUUUUCAGCAAACAACAACUGGUAAAGGUAUCCACCAAACAAACUACUUUGGCCAAGAUGUGCAUUUUCUGUUGGAGGACAAUAAUUUAGGUUAGAUGGCAAGCUUUUCCUUGUUUUCGAGGAGUCUUUUGGCAAUUUAGUAGGAGCAUUUGCAUAGUGCUGCCUGCUAUGCAAGUUGCUUGUGUUCACAUUUAUUCUAGGUUCAUUAAGACUUUGAGUGUCUAUUGUUUUAAACUGUUGCAAAUUAUGUGGGCCAGCUGCUGAGGAGGUAGUUUGUGGUUGCAUGUAUAAACUGUUAGUUGAGUUAAAGGCACAAUGUGUCAUGUUUGGCCCAUUAUUGUUGGGAGCACCUUGUAGAUUUAUGUUGUUAACAGGUAGGAAUAUCUGGCAAUUAGAGGGCAUGUUCCACAGAAUAAUUUGGGAGUCCUGUUUUCCUGUUGGCAACAUAUGGUUUGCAUUAGGCUGAUUUUCUUGUGCAAGCUUUGUGCCUUUGGUAGCUUGAACGCCACUAGCCAAAAUCUGGUCACUGGUUGCUGGUUGAACUGUGCAGGUGAAGUAAUUUCCGGUGGCAGUUUGUCCAGAAUAUGAGGGACUUGCAGUGGGAGGUGGUAAACAUAGCUGGUAAAAGUUCUGGCUCGUCCCGUUUCCAGGUGUAGUUCCUUCUCCAUGCAAAUUUUGCAGUUGUCCUGAAUGUUGUGAAUUGGCUUGCAUGCUACUGAAUAUUCAAUUGUAUCUCCAGACAGAAUGUAGGAGUGGAAUAAUCACAUC
This is a long non-coding RNA of Cyprinus carpio carpio, 4645 nucleotides long. The record is from Ensembl. Lineage: Eukaryota; Metazoa; Chordata; Actinopteri; Cypriniformes; Cyprinidae.